UACAUAUUUGUUUUAUUUGAAAUUUGUUGAUUAAAUCACAGACACUGACAUAAUAAAUACAUGAUUCUACAUUAAUGAUCAUGGUCUAUAUUAAUGAUCACAAUUUACAUUUAAUGAGUAUAUACAGAAAUAUUAUAUUAAUGAUUAUGUGUACAAUUUUCAACCUUUAAUCUGCUUAUUGCAGUAUACAUUAACAAAACAUGAUACCCUGGAAUGCAAAAAAACAAUAUUAACAACAUCUUAAUGAAAAACUGUUUCUGUGAUACCCAUGUUGUCUUUGGAAAGUGAUUUUACCUGAUGUGCUUCUUCUGAAAAAUUGAAUGGGUUUUGGAACAAAACCAUCAGAUGUGAUACAACAAAAACCACAGUCCAAGGAGAAUGGGUCACAUAAUACAUUAUACUUUAAAAUGGGAGGAGCUAACAAAUAACAGCACUUCAAAAUGGGAGAAGAUUAAAGCUUGAUAGAAAUUUCAAUAUCAAUGUGAUAAAAAAAUAUUUUAAAAACUUAGAAAGUUUAAAAAGAAAAUAUAAUGAUCCUAUAGAUGAAAUAUCCGACACUUGCAUCUGAUUCUACUAAAAAUGCUAGGUCAUAAACAUACAAGUUACUCAAGUUUUUAAACUCUCACCAACCUGUCAAUGUCUGUUGUCAAACAACAGGUACUAUAACUAUCUAAUUUACUAUUAAACACUGUUAGAUAAAUA
RNAcentral lists this long non-coding RNA (702 nucleotides) under Mytilus galloprovincialis (Mediterranean mussel). The record is from RNAcentral. Lineage: Eukaryota; Metazoa; Mollusca; Bivalvia; Mytilida; Mytilidae.